ACGAAUUGUAGUGGGGGUUGAUGCUGGCAGCCUGGCUGCAGGUGCUCGCUCCUGACACAUAUCCAAACACCUGUGCACUGUUGAGGGUUUCCCGAGUUUUAAUUGCCGUUGUGCGGCGGUUUUGCUUGGGAUUUCCCUUCUCCCUUCACAUACACUGCUGAUAAUAUUGAACGUGCUUGUGCCGUAAGGCAUUAACAAAAAUA
This 203-nucleotide unclassified non-coding RNA is filed under the name uncultured Clavulinaceae. RNAcentral's name for it is "sequence contains ITS1". The record is from RNAcentral. Lineage: Eukaryota; Fungi; Basidiomycota; Agaricomycetes; Cantharellales; Hydnaceae.